This 1907-nucleotide long non-coding RNA is filed under the name Olea europaea subsp. europaea. The record is from RNAcentral. Lineage: Eukaryota; Viridiplantae; Streptophyta; Magnoliopsida; Lamiales; Oleaceae.
GUUUUCGAAAACCCGCCUGACCAAUUUUAAGUGAACCGGACGGCCCACAGAUUUUCAUAUAAACUCAGAUAACCUGAAAAAUUUCCAAUUUCCAUCGUCUUCUACAGCUCUGCUAAACCAAAAAACUGAAAACCCUUCUGCCAUCUUCUACAGAUCCUUUCCCAUGAAUCUAAAUCUUCAGAUUCAAGUUGGAUUAAAUGAAAGAAGAACAUGUAAGUCUAGAAUUUAAGAUUUUUGUUGAUGAGUUUCAAAUUUGCACCAUUGAGAUAUAUGAAAAUAAGAUUUUUUGUGCAACUUUAAUUUCAAAUUUGGAGCUGUCUUAUGGGAGAAUGAUUUUAGCAUAAAUAGUCACCUGUUAGCUUCCCAUGGAAAAUAAGAGAUUCCCCUCAUUUUAAAUAACAAUUUGCCAUAUUACGGGUAAUGCGUAAAUUUAAAAAUUGCUGUUGAUGACUGCUUCAAUCUUUAGACGAUUGUAGUAACUUCGGACAAUGGUCCUUUAGUUUUCUUUCUUGAUGAAUUUUUAUUUCUUUAGGCUAAUAAUGGGUACCGUGUUGUUUUAUGGAUGGGUAAUGUAUAAAUGAAAAUAUGAUGUUCUUGAUGAUGAAUUUGUUUUUAUAGGUGAAUGCUUUAACUUGGAAUGCAUAAGUUCACGAUGGUUAUUUGAUUUCUUGCUUGAUGAGUGUUUUGUAUAUGGGUUCUUACUGGAUUCUUGUUGAACGUUGACAUGUUGUUUUUGGUCACUACUCACUAGUUGUUGAUUUUGAUGUUGCAAAUGGAUUUUUCAUAAUAUGUGAUCUAGUGUUUGUUGAAUUUUUUCACAAGGUUGUUCUUUAGGCACCAAAAUAACAUAAAUUAAUUUAGUUGGUAGUAGAAAAUGUCGGAAUUUAUCAUAAAAUAGAAAUAGUUCAUAUAUAUAUUUGAUGAGAAUUGACCCACCGGUCGAACCACCGGGUCGCUAUUUGAACCACUGACCCACGGACCCAUUGCAUUGUCCGAGUUGGUGUCCGGGUUGGAUCUGAUAACUAUGAUAUUACAUGAUUGAACGGGGAGUAUUGAAUUACACUCAACAUUAUUAAAGAAAAAAGAAGUUAAAAUCUUAUUAUUCAAGUGUUCAAUCCUGUCCAAUAGUGUAAUCCAAACUUGCAAUUUUAAUAUUUUUUUGAAGCAUAGUGUCCCAAGUCGAAAUGGCAACAUAAGCUCUUCAUUUAUUUACUCUCAUUGAUAUUUCUUGUAGCCCAAUGUAAUAUGCUUGAGUUUCUAACAUUCUUGCAGUUUAAUGAGCUUUAACUUUUAAUGAAUGAUAGUAUUUUGUCAACAGAUCCUUGAAAAGCUCUAUGACCCAAACCACAUUGUCAUCGGAAACGAAUUGAUUAAACUAAUAUCCGUUCAGCUAUCCAUGGGUCACGACAUUGCUGCAGAUGACCUGGAUCGAUUGGCUGCAAUAUUUUCCCGAUAUUAUGGAUCACAUGCAGAGAUCAUAUUUCCACAUUUGCAGUACCUUAAACAGAGAAACCUACAAACUUCUUGACCAAAAGUAGCCAGCCAUUCUUAUGUUGUGCUGGAUCAGUAAGCAACAUGGCUCUACCCCUCCAUGAAUAUUGUCAAUGCUGUGUGUGUUUUGCAUUUGUUAUGCCAAUCGUUCUGUCUGUCGAACCCACCAACCAACCCCCGCAUCCCCAUCAAAGAAUACUGUUGAAAUCUCGUUCCCGUUAUAUAAUGGUUAUUUUUUACUUUUGGUUCGAUCUCCGUUGAUGUUAGUAUGCAAAUGGGUGUUUCGUCUCCUUACGGUUAAAUAGAGUGGGUUUCCAAUCAUGCUUUGUAAAUUAUGGUUGAUAGAACAUCUUCAAGAGACUCUAAUUAUAAAAAAAUAUUUUAUGCAUAAUUAUAGAGAACAUUUUUAAAUUUGG